GUGCUUGCUUUGGCAGCACAUAUACUAAAAAUAUUGGAACCAUAUAGAGAUACUAGCAUGGCUCCUGCGCAAGGAUGACACGCAAAUUCGUGAAGUGUUCCAUAUUUUU
Callithrix jacchus (white-tufted-ear marmoset) is the source of this 109-nucleotide small nuclear RNA. NCBI's taxonomy places the organism in Eukaryota, Metazoa, Chordata, Mammalia, Primates, Cebidae. The record is from Ensembl.